Caenorhabditis elegans is the source of this 21-nucleotide non-coding RNA. Lineage: Eukaryota; Metazoa; Nematoda; Chromadorea; Rhabditida; Rhabditidae. The record is from Ensembl.
UUGAAGAUCACGAUGUUCAAA